CGGGGGGCGGGCAGCGCAGGACGUGCGGUUCCCAAACGGCCUUUUAACAACGUCACCUGUCUGCCCCUUACACAGAGGGAGACGAGUGUAAGGGGAGAAAAAAAUGAAGUUUCAAGAGUCCUGUGCCCUUUUUUUGUGCUGGAAUAAUUUUUCUGUGUAUUCUUUAGAUUUUAGAACAGGAAGAUGAUGCUCGUUUAGCUGCGCAAAAAAAGGAUGCACCAAUUACUAGCUGUGGUGGCUCCACGGGAUUAAGAGGACUGAAAAUUUCCAAAGGGGCAGUAUUGCUAAUCCAGACCCUUACAUCCUCAAACAGCAAUACAGAGCAAUGCAAUGUUUUCUGUGCUAAAGUCUGCCAAAAUGCCAAGGGAUGACGAGGCAAAAUGAAGACCGGAACAGCUGCAAAUACUUAGAAAGAACUGUCUAAUUGAAUUUAAUUAUUCAAUAUAG
Molecule: long non-coding RNA, 447 nt
Filed under: Struthio camelus australis
Lineage: Eukaryota; Metazoa; Chordata; Aves; Struthioniformes; Struthionidae
Description: lncRNA (ENSSCUG00000015108.1)
Source: RNAcentral